GACGAACGCUGGCGGCGUGCUUAACACAUGCAAGUCGAACGAGAAGAGAUGAGAAGCUUGCUUCUUAUUGAUUCGAGUGGCAAACGGGUGAGUAACGCGUAAGCAACCUGCCCUUCAGAUGGGGACAACAGCUGGAAACGGCUGCUAAUACCGAAUACGUUCUUUUGUCGCAUGGCAGAGGGAAGAAAGGGAGGCUCUUCGGAGCUUUCGCUGAAGGAGGGGCUUGCGUCUGAUUAGCUAGUUGGAGGGGUAACGGCUCACCAAGACGAUGAUGGGUAGCCGGCCUGAGAGGGUGAACGGCCACAAGGGGACUGAGACACGGCCCUU
RNAcentral lists this ribosomal RNA (327 nucleotides) under uncultured bacterium. Its description in RNAcentral is "bacterial SSU rRNA". It matches the Rfam family "Bacterial small subunit ribosomal RNA", at positions 28 to 334 of the family's 1533-position model. The record is from RNAcentral.